GGGGUGCUCGAGUGGCGAACGGGUGAGUAACACGUGAUAACCUGCCCUUGACUUUGGGAUAACUCAGGAAACUGGGGCUAAUACCGGAUAGGAGCUCCUGCUGCAUGGUGGGGGUUGGAAAGUUUCGGCGGUUGGGGAUGGACUCGCGGCUUAUCAGCUUGUUGGUGGGGUAGUGGCUUACCAAGGCUUUGACGGGUAGCCGGCCUGAGAGGGUGACCGGCCACAUUGGGACUGAGAUACGGCCCAG
RNAcentral lists this ribosomal RNA (247 nucleotides) under uncultured Actinomycetales bacterium. Its description in RNAcentral is "partial 16S ribosomal RNA". It matches the Rfam family "Bacterial small subunit ribosomal RNA", at positions 84 to 334 of the family's 1533-position model. The record is from RNAcentral. Lineage: Bacteria; Bacillati; Actinomycetota; Actinomycetes; Actinomycetales.